CCUACGGGCGUCAGCAGUAGGGAAUCUUCCACAAUGGGCGAAAGCCUGAUGGAGCAACGCCGCGUGGGUGAAGAAGGUCUUCGGAUCGUAAAACCCUGUUGUUAGAGAAGAAAGAGCGUGAGAGUAACUGUUCACGUUUCGACUGUAUCUAACAAGAAAGCCACGGCUAACUACGUGCCAGCAGCCGCGGUAAUACGUAGGUGGCAAGCGUUAUCCGGAUUUAUUGGGCGUAAAGGGAACGCAGGCGGUCUUUUAAGUCUGAUGUGAAAGCCUUCGGCUUAACCGGAGUAGUGCAUUGGAAACUGGGAGACGUGAGUGCAGAAGAGGAGAGUGGAACUCCAGGUGUAGCGGUGAAAUGCGUAGAUAUAUGGAAGAACACCAGUGGCGAAAGCGGCUCUCUGGUCUGUAACUGACGCUGAGGUUCGAAAGCGUGGGUAGCAAACAGGAUUAGAUACCCGGGUAGUC
Molecule: ribosomal RNA, 465 nt
Filed under: uncultured bacterium
Lineage: Bacteria
Description: partial 16S ribosomal RNA
Rfam family: Bacterial small subunit ribosomal RNA
Source: RNAcentral